RNAcentral lists this ribosomal RNA (433 nucleotides) under uncultured bacterium. Its description in RNAcentral is "partial 16S ribosomal RNA". It matches the Rfam family "Bacterial small subunit ribosomal RNA", at positions 29 to 507 of the family's 1533-position model. The record is from RNAcentral.
AACGAACGCUGGCGGCAUGCCUAACACAUGCAAGUCGAACGAGACCUUCGGGUCUAGUGGCGCACGGGUGCGUAACGCGUGGGAAUCUGCCCUUGGGUUCGGAAUAACAGUUGGAAACGACUGCUAAUACCGGAUGAUGACGUAAGUCCAAAGAUUUAUCGCCCAAGGAUGAGCCCGCGUAGGAUUAGCUAGUUGGUGAGGUAAAGGCUCACCAAGGCGACGAUCCUUAGCUGGUCUGAGAUGAUGAUCAGCCACACUGGGACUGAGACACGGCCCAGACUCCUACGGGAGGCAGCAGUGGGGAAUAUUGGACAAUGGGCGAAAGCCUGAUCCAGCAAUGCCGCGUGAGUGAUGAAGGCCUUAGGGUUGUAAAGCUCUUUUACCCGGGAUGAUAAUGACAGUACCGGGAGAAUAAGCUCCGGCUAACUCCGUG